UGCCUAAUACAUGCAAGUCGAGCGCGGGAAGCAAGCAGAUCUCCUUCGGGGGUGACGCUUGUGGAACGAGCGGCGGACGGGUGAGUAACACGUGGGCAACCUACCUGUAAGACUGGGAUAACNCCGGGAAACCGGGGCUAAUACCGGAUGAUACAUAUCGUCGCAUGACGAGAUGUUGAAAGGCGGCAUAUGCUGUCACUUACAGAUGGGCCCGCGGCGCAUUAGCUAGUUGGUGAGAUAAAAGCUCACCAAGGCGACGAUGCGUAGCCGACCUGAGAGGGUGAUCGGCCACACUGGGACUGAGACACGGCCCAGACUCCUACGGGAGGCAGCAGUAGGGAAUCUUCCGCAAUGGACGAAAGUCUGACGGAGCAACGCCGCGUGAGUGAUGAAGGUUUUCGGAUCGUAAAACUCUGUUGUUAGGGAAGAACAAGUGCCAUUCGAAUAGGUUGGCACCUUGACGGUACCUAACCAGAAAGCCCCGGCUAACUACGUGCCAGCAGCCGCGGUAAUACGUAGGGGGCAAGCGUUGUCCGGAAUUAUUGGGCGUAAAGCGCGCGCAGGCGGUCCUUUAAGUCUGAUGUGAAAGCCCACGGCUUAACCGUGGAGGGCCAUUGGAAACUGGGGGACUUGAGUACAGAAGAGGAGAGUGGAAUUCCACGUGUAGCGGUGAAAUGCGUAGAGAUGUGGAGGAACACCAGUGGCGAAGGCGACUCUCUGGUCUGUAACUGACGCUGAGGUGCGAAAGCGUGGGUAGCGAACAGGAUUAGAUACCCUGGUAGUCCACGCCGUA
This 793-nucleotide ribosomal RNA is filed under the name Virgibacillus sp. N37. RNAcentral describes it as "bacterial SSU rRNA". It matches the Rfam family "Bacterial small subunit ribosomal RNA", at positions 45 to 804 of the family's 1533-position model. The record is from RNAcentral. Lineage: Bacteria; Bacillati; Bacillota; Bacilli; Caryophanales; Bacillaceae.